UACGUAGGGUGCGAGCGUUGUCCGGAAUUAUUGGGCGUAAAGAGCUUGUAGGUGGCUCGUUGCGUCGGGAGUGAAAACCCGCGGCUCAACCGCGGGCCUGCUUCCGAUACGGGCGGGCUAGAGUUCGGCAGGGGAGACUGGAAUUCCUGGAUGUAGCGGUGGAAUGCGCAGAUAUCAGGAGGAACACCGGUGGCGAAGGCGGGUCUCUGGGCCGAUACUGACACUGAGAAGCGAAAGCGUGGGGAGCGAACAGG
RNAcentral lists this ribosomal RNA (254 nucleotides) under uncultured bacterium. RNAcentral describes it as "partial 16S ribosomal RNA". It matches the Rfam family "Bacterial small subunit ribosomal RNA", at positions 524 to 776 of the family's 1533-position model. The record is from RNAcentral.